This 233-nucleotide ribosomal RNA is filed under the name uncultured bacterium. RNAcentral describes it as "partial 16S ribosomal RNA". It matches the Rfam family "Bacterial small subunit ribosomal RNA", at positions 118 to 347 of the family's 1533-position model. The record is from RNAcentral.
UGAGCAAUCUGCCCUUCUCUCUGGGAUAACCCCGGGAAACCGGAGCUAAUACCGGAUACUCCGGCUGGAUCGCAUGGUCCGGCCAGGAAAGGUCCGCCGGAGAGGGAUGGGCCCGCGGCCUAUCAGCUUGUUGGUGAGGUCACGGCUCACCAAGGCUACGACGGGUAGCUGGUCUGAGAGGACGACCAGCCACACUGGAACUGAGAUACGGUCCAGACCUCCGUACGGGAGCA